CAGCCGCCACGGUAACACGUGGGGUGCGAGCGUUAAUCGGAAUUACUGGGCGUAAAGCGGGCGCAGACGGUUACUUAAGCAGGAUGUGAAAUCCCCGGGCUCAACCUGGGAACUGCGUUCUGAACUGGGUAACUAGAGUGUGUCAGAGGGAGGUAGAAUUCCACGUGUAGCAGUGAAAUGCGUAGAGAUGUGGAGGAAUACCGAUGGCGAAGGCAGCCUCCUGGGAUAACACUGACGUUCAUGCCCGAAAGCGUGGGUAGCAAACAGGAUUAGAUACCCGCGUAGUCCCUGUCUCUUAUAC
This 301-nucleotide ribosomal RNA is filed under the name uncultured bacterium. RNAcentral's name for it is "partial 16S ribosomal RNA". It matches the Rfam family "Bacterial small subunit ribosomal RNA", at positions 509 to 807 of the family's 1533-position model. The record is from RNAcentral.